This 280-nucleotide long non-coding RNA is filed under the name Gossypium barbadense (sea-island cotton). Its description in RNAcentral is "long non-coding RNA (GBAR_LNC016227)". The record is from RNAcentral. Lineage: Eukaryota; Viridiplantae; Streptophyta; Magnoliopsida; Malvales; Malvaceae.
UUCCGCCAAAUUGCAUGAUUGAAUAGCUUAAUUUGUUAAAUUUUCCAUAGUCUUUAUUUUUCUUUUUUCCCUCUGUUUAUUUCUAUUGUGAUCUCUAACCAAGGUUAUUUGUUCUUCAUUUUAUUUUUUCAUCAUGCAUCAUAGACAUCUCAUUAUGAAGGUGUUGGUUAAAGAUUGGUUGCCAAAAACGGGUUUCUGAUGGAGGACUCAAUUACACGAGUAACUGAGAAAAAUGCUGUAGUCCGAGAUUGGCCUUUGAGGACUCAAAAAGUAAAAGGGG